GGAUGAGGGAGCAGGGUUCUGCAGGCUCAGAUUUAGCCUCCGUCUGAACCUUACAUCAUCUGCCUUCUCUUUGGAGUGUCUGAAUUAACAAGCCAUGCUUACAGCGCCUGGCAGACAGGGCAGCACUGCAGAUGAAAGCCUGCUUUCCUUUUAAACAAAAAUUAAGGCCUAAAGCUGCCCUGGGUCUCGACCCUUUUCUUGCCAACUAGGGAGGGUCUGGGAAAAGAAGAGCAUAUCAUCAGGGUGGGAUGAGGUUCUAGGGGUUUUAUUUUCAGGGGUGGCGGUGUGCGUGUGGGAAAGAGAGAUAAAGAUGAGAUGGAAUUCUGAGAGUUGGGAAAGAGUGUAUUUCAAAGAACAUUUUUAGUCACAGAUGGUUGCGGAGGAAUACGGAGAACAGGCCCAGCACCUCGGCUUCCUGGCUGAUUGCGGGGAGGGGAGCUUGCUAAUGAACACAUUGAUUUCCCAGCUCCUCUGAACAAUAGCAAAUGUUUUUUGCAGUUAUUAAUUGGGAUCCCACAGCAGGUGUGGGGGAUGGUAGGUGCUGGUGAUUCUAAGUUUAUCUUUGGGGGUUAGGCAAAGACCAAGAGAAUUUAAAGAGAAAGGAGGAACAGCUGGGCUGGGUGGUCCCAGCUGGACUGGCUCUCAACCUUGCUACUGGGCAGUUUAACUAGUUUAAUUCUUCGUUUUCCUCUUUGAGAAAAAAUUAGAUUAAUACUUUUUCUUCAUAUGGAUCGUGUGAAAACUAAACAACAUAGUUAAUACAUGUAAAAAGUAUGUUGUAAGUUUUCCAGGUCUAUAUACCAUUUGUUUUUCUUGUCAUUCAUUUCUCUUUAGUGUUUAUUAAAUGCCUACUGUGUACUAGUAGCUUGUGCUAGGUUCAAAGAAUAUGGCAAUGAAUUGGAAAAUACAGUUCCUGCCCCCCACAGAACUCAUGGUCCAUCAAGGAAGAGGGGGCCUGGCCACGUGAAUAUAAAUGCCCUGAGAGGAUUUCCCCUCAUGGAUCAGUGGUAACAAACCCAGAUAAUAUCCAUGAGGACACAGGAUCAAUCCCUGGCCUCACUCAGUGGAUUGGGGCUAUGGUAUUGCUGUGAGCUGGGGCGUAGGUCACAGACUUGGCUUGGAUCUGGUGUUGCUGUGGCUGUGGUGUAGGCUGGCAGCUGUAGCUCCAUUUGACCCAUAGCCUGAAAACUUCCACCUGCCACAAGUCAGGCCAAGAAAUAAAUAAAUAAGCACUGAAAUACACCAGCUGCUUUUCCAAUGGGAAGCUUAAGACAAACUGACCCUGGAAGUCAGAGAAGGCCUCCUGAAGGAAGGAACAUCAUUAUGGAGACCCAUCAUAAACAGUGAUGCUGCUGUUUUUCCCCCUGGAGCAGGGUCAGGGACUUAAACGCUGACCCAGGUUGGCCAGGUAGACCAAGGUCUGAAACCUUAUAAAGGAUCAAUUGGCUUAUAUUUCUCCAUUGACGAGAAACAAGCCAGUGUGUCCUCAGAGGGGCCCCUACUGUCUUUCUAAGCUUGCCUAGCCAUGUCCGUUGUGCAAACUCACUGAGCAUUGGGCGGCAUCCUAGAACAAGAUGUUCCUCAUUCUCGUGAGGCUGACACCCUGAUAACAAAGCUCAAGCUUUCCCUAAGUGCCCAGGUGAUGCCUCCCUGAUCCUGAAUAAAGAGGUGGCAGGCAACCAAGGCCUUCUCAGGUCCACCCAGCCUCCCACUGUGCCCAGCAUUCAUGGGAGACUUGCCCCCCAUCCCACUAGCACUGUGCCUGCACUUUCCCCUAACAACUCUGCCUUGAGCCUCUGCUUUAUGGCCCUGUACUAUUUAUCUCCAAUUGCAGCCCAACACUGGCUUUUAUAAAACCACCCUUGAAAAAUAGGACUUCUAGAAACUGGCAGGGUAGCCUGAGAUAAAAAGUAUGUGUCAGGAGAUGGGAGUUUGCUUUCAAUUCCAUUGGGUACAUAUUUCCUGAGCAGCUACUAAGGGAGAAGCCCAAUGCUGAGCAUGGAGUGUUCAGGGGUAAAUAUACUUCCAGUCUAGUUGGAAAGCAGUGAUGGUGGAGGUGAUAAUGAUGGGGGUGAUGAUGGUAAUGAUGGAGGUGAUGGUAAUGAUGGUGGUGAUGAUGAUGAUAAUGAUAAUCAUUAUGGUGAUGGUAAUGAUGGAAGUGGUGGUAAUGAUGGAGACAAUGGUAAUGAUGAUGGUGAUGGUCAUGAUGGAGGUGGUGGUAAUGAUAAGGGUGGUGAUGAUGAUAAUGUUGAAGAUGAUGACUAUGGUGAUGGUCAUGAUGGAGGUGGUGGUAAUGAGGGAGGUGGUGGUAAUGAUAACAGUGGUAAUGAUGAUAGUGGCAAAGAUGAUGAUGAUGAUGGUAACUUACGAUGGAAGUGGUGGUAAUGAUGGAGACAAUGGUAAUGAUGUUGGUGAUGGUAAUGAUGAUGGUGAUGGUCAUGAUGGAAGUGGUGAUAAUGAUGGAGACAAUGGUAAUGAUGAUGGUGAUGGUCAUGAUGGAGGUGGUAGUAAUGAUAAUGGUGGUAAUGAUGGAGACAAUGGUAAUGAUGAUGGUGAUGGUCAUGAUGGAGGUGAUAGUAAUGAUAAUGGUGGUAAUGAUGAUAAUGUUGAAGAUGAUGAUGGUGAUGGUCAUGAUGGAAGUGGUGAUAAUGAUGGAGACAAUGGUAAUGAUGAUGGUGAUGGUCAUGAUGGAGGUGGUAGUAAUGAUAAUGGUAAUGAUGAUAAUGUUGAAGAUGAUGAUGGUGAUGGUCAUGAUGAUGAUAAUCAUUCUGGUGAUGGUAAUGAUGGAAGUGGUGGUAAUGAUGGAGACAAUGGUAAUGAUGUUGGUGAUGGUAAUGAUGAUGGUGAUGGUCAUGAUGGAGGUGGUGGUAAUGAUAAUGAUGGUAAUGAUGAUAAUGUUGAAGAUGAUGAUGGUGAUGGUAAUGAUGGAAGUGGUGGUAAUGAUGGAGACAAUGGUAAUGAUGAUGGUGAUGGUCAUGAUGGAGGUGGUGGUAAUGAUAAUGGUGGUAAUGAUGAUAAUGUUGAAGAUGAUGGUGAUGGUCAUGAUGGAAGUGGUGGUAAUGAGAGAGGUGGUGGUAAUGAUAAUGGUGGUAAUGAUGAUAAUGUUGAAGAUGAUGGUGAUGGUCAUGAUGGAAGUGGUGGUAAUGAGAGAGGUGGUGGUUAUGAUAACGGUGGUAAUGAUGAUAGUGACAAAGAUGAUGUGAUGAUGGUAACUUACGAUGGAAGUGGUGGUAAUGAUGCAGAUGAUGGUAAUGACGGAGGUGGUGGAAGUGAUGGUGGUGGUCAGUGCAUGUGAAUGGUUUGGGGGUAGGGAAGGUGCUGGAAUUGGGAGAGUUGAGCUCGAUAACACCUAAGGCACCAUCAACUGCUUUGACUUUUAUUCUGUUAAACCUAAUUAUUUACUAGUCUAUAAAACAGGUACACACAUCGCUUGUAUUCAAGAUGUUUCUUGAACAGGACAGAAAUGAGAGAAUUUGCUAAGAACUUCCACAUCUAACAAUGGGAUCAAAUUGUACGCAUUUCAUUUUGCCUCCAGGAUCCAGAAGAAAUCCCCAUCCCUGUUAAUUUAGAACACGUAAACUAUGCACAUAGAUUAAAAUUCGGAAGUAGUUUCUAUUUCAUGAGGAUUUUUAAAAAAUCAUAUGCUCUCUAUUCAAGACUUUACAAAAGAAAGUAAGGAAUAAAAUUCACACAUUAGCAAGAAAUUGCUGGUAUCUUUGAAUAUCUUCCCCCAGGCAGAGAAAUUUGGCAUUUUUUAAAAAGUUGAAUUUUCUGUGUAUGAAAGAAAACAUUUACUGAUGAUGUGGAUGAGUAAAAUCAUUAAGUAAAUGUUGUAUAGAUUCAAACAAACAAAAAAAGCUACCCCCUUAUUCCCAGUUUCCGAAACAAACCAAUCCCCACUCACACCCUACCCCCAAAAGGCAAGGAAUAGAUAGAUGGAAAAAGAUUGAGUUUUUGUUUCCUGAGUUAGUACACAGGCAAAAAAUAAAAAAAUAAAAAAAUAAAAACAAUGCCAAGAAUAUAAAAGAUCAGCUGGUUAUUUGUUCUAAGCAUUUUAUGUGUAUUAACUCAUUUAAUCCCAUAAUAAUCCUAUAAGGAAGCUGGCUAUGAUAUCCUUUUUUCACAAGUGUGGGAACAGAAACCCAGUAACUCACUGGGGAUCAUAAAGCUGAGAAGUGGUGGCGCUGGAUUUGAACCUAGCCAAGAGAGCUUUAAUGCCUGCAGACUUAAACAAACAUAGACCACUUAUAUAUAUAUGACUUGUAAAGGCUUGUGAGGCCACUAUAUUUGCUGCUUGAUAUUAUUUUUCUUGUUAUUAAGAUCCCUUCAUCCAGAGUCUUUCACACCUUGUAUGAGCUUUCACCGGAAAGUUGAUUAUCACGUAUAUGGGACCUCACUAUUAUUUCUUACAACUUUAAGUGAAUCUACAAUUAUCUCCCUAAAAAUUCCAGUCAGGAAGAGUUGACUAGCACCACACAUGUCUCUAAGCACUCUCUAAUGAGCAAGUGAAUUAAAAUGUCAGGAACAAAUGACUGAUUACAGAUUUAAAAUCAGUCUGUAAAUGUGAAGAAAUAUUUUAUGUAAACAUCCCAGCCUUGGAAGUGUUAGGCUUGAAAGUGAGUUAUGGGUCAAAAUCCCAAUCAGACUCUGUCUUAGGAAAGCUCCUUGACUUGUCUGGGCCUCAGUUUCCUAACUCUGUAAAAUGGGGUAGUAAUGCCUACUUCAUUGUGUUGUUAGGAAAGAGCAGAUUUGGAGUCAGGCUUGUGUGAAUCCAGAGUUGCUUGCUUUUAGCAGCUCCAUGCUACCCUGAGUAAAGAGGUGGUAGGUGCCAGCUUCAGGGAAGAGGGCCUAAGGGGGCCUGCCUGUAGCCCCUGCCAGUUAUCCCUCCAGCCUCUUUGUCUACCCGUCCCCCCAGAAUCUGUUUCCCUUUGCAAGGCCUGACCUCAAAGGGUCAUGUCAGCUCCACUGGACCUUCGCAGUUCAGCUUGCUUCUCUUGCCCUUCUUAAAUAAACUGGAUUUGGAGCCAGAAGACCUCAGGUUAAGACCUGCUUUUGCUGGGUAGCUUCUGGCAAGCCGCUUCCCCAGCUGGGUCUUGGGUUUCCUGCCUAUAACAUGAAGCAUCCAGGACAGGGUACCCAGAGCCCCGCCCUCUCUAAGGAAUGAGAAGUGGCUCCUCCUCUCUAUGUGCAACCCCAAAGCUUCACUCCCUUGCCAUUCCCUUACCCCUUCUAAAAAUAUCAACCUAGGGCACAUAACAAGAUGCUCAACAUCGCUAAUUAUUAGAGAAAUGUAAAUCAAAACUGCAGUGAAUUACCACCUCACACCAGUCAGGAUGGCCAUCAUCAGAAAGUCUACAAAGAAAGUGUGGAGAAAAGGGAACCCUCCUACCCUAUGAAUAGGAAUGUAAAUUGGUGCAGCCACUAUGGAGAAUACUAUGGAAAACUAAAAAUAGAGCUACCAUACAAUCCAACAAUCCCACUUUGGGGCAUUUAUCCAAAAAAGAUGAAAACUCUAAUUUGAAAAGUAUGUGCACCCAGUGUUCACUGCAGCACAGUUUAUAAUUAGCCAAGACAUGAAAGCACCUAGCCUAGAUGCCCACUGAUGGACGAAUGGAUAAAGAAGAUGUGGUACAUAAAUACAACGCAAUACUACUCAGCCAUAAAAAGAAUGAAAUGAUGCCAUUUUCAGCAGCAUGGAUGGACCUAGAGAUUAUCAUACUAAAU
RNAcentral lists this long non-coding RNA (5724 nucleotides) under Sus scrofa (pig). RNAcentral's name for it is "lncRNA (ENSSSCG00000060825.1)". The record is from RNAcentral. Lineage: Eukaryota; Metazoa; Chordata; Mammalia; Artiodactyla; Suidae.